Gymnodraco acuticeps is the source of this 294-nucleotide long non-coding RNA. RefSeq lists it as uncharacterized. The record is from RefSeq and is a predicted model, not a curated record. The transcript is spliced from 3 exons. NCBI's taxonomy places the organism in Eukaryota, Metazoa, Chordata, Actinopteri, Perciformes, Bathydraconidae.
CGAGUUUUGCUUCUGUCAGUACAAACAAGAGGAUAUGUGCCAGGUCCAUCACUUUGUUUGUCCAGCAUGUUCUCCAGACAUGUUGGCUGUCUGCUGUGAUGGAAACCGCAAGCAUUACCGCUUUUCCAAGUCAAAAGGGACUGAGGAGCCGCCAAUCUAUGAGGGCUUGUUCCUGGCCAAGGACGAGGAAGUCGCAACAUUUGUUGACCUUGUCAGAGGCAACAUGAAAAGUGGAAAUGACAGUGCCGUCUGUGGUACUGCCAAAUUCACCGCUGGCAGAGAGAUGUCAAAAAG